This is a non-coding RNA of Camellia sinensis, 542 nucleotides long. NCBI's taxonomy places the organism in Eukaryota, Viridiplantae, Streptophyta, Magnoliopsida, Ericales, Theaceae. The record is from RefSeq and is a predicted model, not a curated record.
UUGGUCUAAGGUCCCUACCCAACUUUUAGUAUGAGGAGAGAUCCAUAAUAAUAUUUUCUGGUGUCUAAGGUCCCUUAAUGUUAGUUUAGUUUAUAAAAUACCUAUUUUACCCUUUUGUAUAUUAUACGUGGUUUUCAAUUUUGGAAUCUGAAGAUUACGUUACUAUUUUUGUGGAAGAUUACUUUGGGAUGAACUUGGCGAUCGAUGGAGAUUUCGAUGAUGCAGAUUUCGUGAAAAUUUUAUAGGAAUUUUGUAGUCGUAUAGUAGUUGAGUUUCGUUGAUCGUAUAGAAGUUGAAGUCGUGUUGAAGCUCGAAUUUUCAGUAGAGUUGAAUCAGUGUUGUUGCUGUGCAAAUAUGGGAAUGAUACUAUUAUCAUUAAUGUUUCAUGUGAAUUGAAUUGAUGAUGCUAUGUUUUUACUUGCAUUGAGUAAGAGAUCAGCUAGGAGGCCAAAGAAGAACAGAAUUGCUUCUACUGAAGAGUUUAAAAGGGUGAUGAAGUGUAGUCAAUGUGAUAGGAUUGAUCGCCAUAAUAAGAGGACAUA